Long non-coding RNA from Oryzias melastigma (Indian medaka), 875 nucleotides. RefSeq lists it as uncharacterized. The transcript has 2 exons. Lineage: Eukaryota; Metazoa; Chordata; Actinopteri; Beloniformes; Adrianichthyidae. The record is from RefSeq and is a predicted model, not a curated record.
CUUGACUGCCGUCCGUCUGAGCCUGAGGACCCUGACUUCCAUCUGGAAAAGGUCCAAAGUCUCCUGAAGAGCCAGUAGAACCUCCAAGUUUUGACAUCAUAUGAGUGUUGACCCCCGACGCCGGUGUAACCCCACCAGGUCCUGGCGUGUCGUGAAGCUCUCGUGCGUGGGCGGCAACGGCCUCUCUUUUGUGGGCACCCUUCGAGCUACGCAGAUCAGGCACGACUGGAAGUCUGGAGAGAGGAGAACAGUAUGGAGGGAAAAAAGUUAAAAUCAGAUGAACAAGGAGCUUAAAGGAAGUGGGGGUGAAGAAAACGAAAUGCAUGUUGUUCCCAGGCAGCUUAAUUAAUACAGUUAUUAAUGAGCGUGGGGAUCAGGGCUGAGCUCUUUUCAAGAGGAGCAGCUAUAGCUGGCAAGGGAAAUGAUGUAGUGUGACCUUUGAAGGUGUGUGAGUGCAUGUAUGGGUGUGUGUGUUGGUGUGCAUAUGAGCAUGCUGGUUUCACCUCAAUUGCCAUCUCACACUGAUGACACCUCCCUUGGCUCAACAUCGCUCAAUCAUGACAGUUGCCUCCAACACACCCAAAAAUGACAUCCAGAACUGGGGUGACCCCAAAAACUCUGCCAUCCAACUUUCCUGCGCUAAUAAUACCCACAAUCCCACACCGAAUAGGGAAAAGCGAGGUGGGGGCCAUAGAAAAUUAGGCUUUUCUUUUUUUUUUUUUUUUUUGUCUUCCACAGACUUUAACUCUAAAUCUGCCCAACAUGAAAGUACACAAGAAGGGGAGAGGAUCUUUUAUGCGGCUGAACUUCAGUUUGUCACACAUACAACCUUUCCUCACCUUUUAUGUAACCCUAAGAAAUAAAAAUAAAAAAAA